GACGAACGCUGGCGGCGUGCUUAACACAUGCAAGUCGAACGGAAAGGCCCUGCUUUUGUGGGGUGCUCGAGUGGCGAACGGGUGAGUAACACGUGAGUAACCUGCCCUUGACUUUGGGAUAACUUCAGGAAACUGGGGCUAAUACCGGAUAGGAGCUCCUGCUGCAUGGUGGGGGUGGGAAAGUUUCGGCGGUUGGGGAUGGACUCGCGGCUUAUCAGCUUGUUGGUGGGGUAGUGGCUUACCAAGGCUUUGACGGGUAGCCGGCCUGAGCGGGUGACCGGCCACAUUGGGACUGAGAUACGGCCCAGACUCCUAUGGGAGGCAGCAGUGGGGAAUAGUGCACAAUGGGCGGAAGCCUGAUGCAGCAACGCCGCGUGCGGGAUGACGGCCUUCGGGUUGUAAACCGCUUUCGCCUGUGACGAAGCGUGAGUGACGGUAAUGGGUAAAGAAGCACCGGCUAACUACGUG
This 468-nucleotide ribosomal RNA is filed under the name uncultured bacterium. RNAcentral describes it as "partial 16S ribosomal RNA". It matches the Rfam family "Bacterial small subunit ribosomal RNA", at positions 28 to 507 of the family's 1533-position model. The record is from RNAcentral.